AAGGUUUGGCAGCCCGGAGAUUUUUUUGGAGGUACCUACCACUCCUGAUUCCCUGGACUUAUCCAUCAUGAACCAGCUUCACUCUGAAAGGUUCCUGUUCCCUUCCAAUCCAUUUCUCCCAUAGG
RNAcentral lists this long non-coding RNA (125 nucleotides) under Sarcophilus harrisii (Tasmanian devil). Its description in RNAcentral is "lncRNA (ENSSHAG00000028125.1)". Lineage: Eukaryota; Metazoa; Chordata; Mammalia; Dasyuromorphia; Dasyuridae. The record is from RNAcentral.